Molecule: ribosomal RNA, 378 nt
Filed under: uncultured bacterium
Lineage: Bacteria
Description: bacterial SSU rRNA
Rfam family: Bacterial small subunit ribosomal RNA
Source: RNAcentral
GACGAACGCUGGCGGCGUGCUUAACACAUGCAAGUCGAGCGGUAAGGCCCUUUCGGGGGUACGACGAGCGGCGAACGGGUGAGUAACACGUGGGUGACCUGCCCUCAGCUCUGGGAUAAGCCUGGGAAACCGGGUCUAAUACCGGAUAUGACUCCAUGACGCAUGUUGUGGGGUGGAAAGCCUUGUGCGGCUGAGGAUGGGCCCGCGGCCUAUCAGCUUGUUGGUGGGGNGAUGGCCUACCAAGGCGACGACGGGUAGCCGGCCUGAGAGGGCGACCGGCCACACUGGGACUGAGACACGGCCCAGACUCCUACGGGAGGCAGCAGGUGGGGAAUCUUGCGCAAGUGGGCGAAAGCCUGACGCAGCGACGCCGCGUGA